RNAcentral lists this unclassified non-coding RNA (200 nucleotides) under Tomentella sp. RNAcentral describes it as "partial internal transcribed spacer 2". Lineage: Eukaryota; Fungi; Basidiomycota; Agaricomycetes; Thelephorales; Thelephoraceae. The record is from RNAcentral.
UUAAGUUCAGCGGGUAGUCCUACCUGAUUUGAGAUCAAACGUCCAAAGAGCUGUCUCCACUGAGGAGAGACAUUUAUGAGCCCCGGCGAACCUCCAUCACUGAAGGUUAUCUGGCAGAAAACCACAGGCGUAGAUAGUUAUCACACCCGUGAUGCCACCAAACACCGGAAAGCUGAUCCAUUUGAGAGGAGCCGACCGAA